GACGAACGCUGGCGGCGUGCUUAACACAUGCAAGUCGAACGAUGAUGCUCCAGCUUGCUGGGGUGGAUUAGUGGCGAACGGGUGAGUAACACGUGAGUAACCUGCCCCCUUCUUCGGGAUAAGCUUGGGAAACUGGGUCUAAUACUGGAUAUUCUGCAAUUGUCGCAUGGGGGUUGUGGGAAAGAUUUUUUGGUGGGGGAUGGGCUCGCGGCCUAUCAGCUUGUUGGUGGGGUGAUGGCCUACCAAGGCGUCGACGGGUAGCCGGCCUGAGAGGGUGACCGGCCACGCUGGGACUGAGAUACGGCCCAGACUCCUACGGGAGGCAGCAGUGGGGAAUAUUGCACAAUGGGCGCAAGCUUGAUGCAGCGACGCCGCGUGAGGGAUGACGGCUUUCGGGUUGUAAACCUCUUUCGAUGGGGAACAAGGCCAUAUUUUUGUGUGGUUGAGGGUACCUGUAUAAGAAGCGCCGGCUAACUACGUG
This 481-nucleotide ribosomal RNA is filed under the name uncultured bacterium. RNAcentral's name for it is "partial 16S ribosomal RNA". It matches the Rfam family "Bacterial small subunit ribosomal RNA", at positions 28 to 507 of the family's 1533-position model. The record is from RNAcentral.